GAUGAACGCUGGCGGCGUGCCUAAUACAUGCAAGUCGAGCGAAUGGAUUAAGAGCUUGCUCUUAUGAAGUUAGCGGCGGACGGGUGAGUAACACGUGGGUAACCUGCCCAUAAGACUGGGAUAACUCCGGGAAACCGGGGCUAAUACCGGAUAACAUUUUGAACCGCAUGGUUCGAAAUUGAAAGGCGGCUUCGGCUGUCCCUUAUGGAUGGACCCGCGUCGCAUUAGCUAGUUGGUGAGGUAACGGCUCACCAAGGCAACGAUGCGUAGCCGACCUGAGAGGGUGAUCGGCCACACUGGGGCUGAGACACGUCCCAGACUCCUACGGGAGGCAGCAGUAGGGAAUCUUCCGCAAUGGACGAAAGUCUGACGGAGCAACGCCGCGUGAGUGAUGAAGGCUUUCGGGUCGUAAAACUCUGUUGUUAGGGAAGAACAAGUGCUAGUUGAAUAAGCUGGCACCUUGACGGUACCUAACCAGAAAGCCACGGCUAACUACGUGCCAGCAGCCGCCGUAA
RNAcentral lists this ribosomal RNA (515 nucleotides) under uncultured bacterium. RNAcentral's name for it is "partial 16S ribosomal RNA". It matches the Rfam family "Bacterial small subunit ribosomal RNA", at positions 28 to 523 of the family's 1533-position model. The record is from RNAcentral.